AGUGAACGCUGGCGGUAGGCCUAACACAUGCAAGUCGAACGGCAGCACAGUAAGAGCUUGCUCUUACGGGUGGCGAGUGGCGGACGGGUGAGGAAUACAUCGGAAUCUACUUUUUCGUGGGGGAUAACGUAGGGAAACUUACGCUAAUACCGCAUACGACCUACGGGUGAAAGCAGGGGAUCUUCGGACCUUGCGCGAUUGAAUGAGCCGAUGUCGGAUUAGCUAGUUGGCGGGGUAAAGGCCCACCAAGGCGACGAUCCGUAGCUGGUCCGAGAGGAUGAUCAGCCACACCGGAACUGAGACACGGUCCAGACUCCUACGGGAGGCAGCAGUGGGGAAUAUUGGACAAUGGGCGCAAGCCUGAUCCAGCCAUACCGCGUGGGUGAAGAAGGCCUUCGGGUUGUAAAGCCCUUUUGUUGGGAAAGAAAAGCAGCAGGUUAAUACCCCGCUGUUCUGACGGUACCCAAAGAAUAAGCACCGGCUAACUUCGUG
RNAcentral lists this ribosomal RNA (492 nucleotides) under uncultured bacterium. RNAcentral describes it as "partial 16S ribosomal RNA". It matches the Rfam family "Bacterial small subunit ribosomal RNA", at positions 29 to 507 of the family's 1533-position model. The record is from RNAcentral.